This 254-nucleotide unclassified non-coding RNA is filed under the name uncultured Myxococcales bacterium. RNAcentral's name for it is "contains 16S-23S intergenic spacer region". It matches the Rfam family "Bacterial small subunit ribosomal RNA", at positions 524 to 776 of the family's 1533-position model. The record is from RNAcentral. Lineage: Bacteria; Pseudomonadati; Myxococcota; Myxococcia; Myxococcales.
GACAGAGGGUGCAAACGUUGUUCGGAAUUACUGGGCGUAAAGCGCGUGUAGGCGGCCAAGCACGUCGGGUGUGAAAUCCCGGGGCUCAACCCCGGAACUGCAUUCGAAACUGCAUGGCUAGAGUCUCGGAGAGGGAAGCGGAAUUCUGGGUGUAGAGGUGAAAUUCGUAGAUAUCCAGAGGAACACCGGUGGCGAAGGCGGCUUCCUGGACGAGUUACUGACGCUGAGACGCGAAAGCGUGGGGAGCAAACAGG